UACGAAGGGGGCUAGCGUUGUUCGGAAUUACUGGGCGUAAAGGGCGCGUAGGCGGUCCCUCAAGUCAGGCGUGAAAGCCCCGGGCUCAACCUGGGAACCGCGCUUGAGACUGAUGGGCUAGAGUUCGGGAGAGGAUGGUGGAAUUCCCAGUGUAGAGGUGAAAUUCGUAGAUAUUGGGAAGAACACCGAUGGCGAAGGCAGCCAUCUGGACCGACACUGACGCUGAGGCGCGAAAGCCAGGGGAGCAAACGGG
This 253-nucleotide ribosomal RNA is filed under the name uncultured bacterium. RNAcentral's name for it is "partial 16S ribosomal RNA". It matches the Rfam family "Bacterial small subunit ribosomal RNA", at positions 524 to 776 of the family's 1533-position model. The record is from RNAcentral.